Molecule: transfer RNA, 79 nt
Filed under: Candidatus Bathyarchaeota archaeon ex4484_40
Lineage: Archaea; Thermoproteati; Candidatus Bathyarchaeota
Also listed under: 2 other names
Description: tRNA-Arg
Rfam family: tRNA
About the family: Transfer RNA (tRNA) molecules are approximately 80 nucleotides in length. Their secondary structure includes four short double-helical elements and three loops (D, anti-codon, and T loops).
Source: RNAcentral
GGACCCGUCGUCUAGCUUGGACUAGGACGCUGGCCUGCGGAGCCAGAGGUCGUGGGUUCAAGUCCCACCGGGUCCGCCA